AUUAUUAUUACUAUAGCUUCAUCUUUGGCUUCAUUUUUUACCUUUCUACUCAUAUUUUCUGUGCAUCCCAAUUUCAUUGUCUGUUUAUUGUUUUUCUACUCACCCUGUGUGCAUUUUUCCAUUUGGUAAACAGAUAGAGAACGGAUAAAUAAGGACAUUGCUUCGGUGACAAAGAUUUGUCCUCCCAAGCCCCUGGCCACGUUGCCCUCUUCUCAAAGCUAACGGUGUUCACUGUUCGUGUUAUUCACUCUGGUACUGAAUGACUUAUGACUCUGUAUCACUGUCUAUCUUUGCCAUGUGGACGUCUCUCCUCGGGUUAUUAUAACCUCUUUGAGCUUUUGGAUCCCCAAGAGUGCCCAUCUCCAUGGGUAUGGCUCCUAACGGCCUCCGAGGAAAUAACUGUUGAAUUAAUUUAACUGGAAAUUGAAUUGACUUAGCCAGGUCAAGGAAGACAGGAGGGGAGUUUUGUAGCCAAGAAAAGGAAAGCUGGAAAAGGACCUCAGAGGACAGUCACAGAGGAUGUAAUCCUUAAUCUCUGCUCAAGUUGCACACUUCAAAAAGCCACUUGCACAGUGGUUCCCAAUCUUUUUGAUCUCUGGAGGCUUUUACAGUCUUAAAAAUUAUUGUGGCCCCCAGAAGGCUUUUGUUUAUAUAGAUGAUAGCUAAAAUGGGGACAUUUUUGUAAUAAUUAUUUAUUUAUAUGAUUAAAAAAUAAACCUAUUAGAGUUAAUAACAUAUUUUCAGGGGAAAUAUUCUUUAUCCCAAACAGAAUUUUAUGAUGAGUGGCAUUGUUUUUAUGUUCUGCAAAUCGCUGUAACAUCUGGCUUGAUAGGAGACAGCUGGAUCCUCCUGUGCACUCGUUCAAGCUGUCGUGAUAUCACAGAUCAUGGAGUUUCUGCAAAACCACUGCGUACUCGCGAGAGGAUAAGCAUGGCCAGGGCACGUCAUGACUUAUGAUUGCUUUGAAGAUAGUUGCGUACACCGUGGACCCCAGACCACCCUGUAGGAACCUGCUACAGGAGAGUAGCAUCUCCGCGCCGUGCUGUUUUCCCGAAUCAAGAGAAUAUGCAUAGUGCUACAACGCUAUCUCCGUUCUUUUAGCUGAGAACCUUCGCAUUGGCUAAGCUGGCUUGUCCAAAGGAGUGAGACGUGAGAGCCGCCUCGGGUACUGCACUCUACUUUUCUCGUGUGUCCUAAAUGGUGGGAAGAUACAGACAGACCCAAGCCCUUAGACCCCCUUGCUCACCCAGACGUGACACCACAGCCCUUCCUUGGCAAUGCUCAGUUUCUUAGUGUAGGUGACUUAUUAGCCCUGUUAUUUUUAAUUUGAUGUUGGGAAACAAGGGGGUAUGGCUCCGAAUGAAACCUUUUGUAGAGGAAAAAAAAGGGACAUUACAGAAAUAAUUACUGGGACAAAUUACUGAGUCAAUCCAGGUGUGAUGUUUUGUACAUUUUUAUGCAUAUUUCAAUUGCUGUAAUUUGAAAAUAUGCAUCACGCACUCCGUUUCAAUUCAUUACUAUUGGCAGCUCUGUAUUAACAGGCUUACGAGUGCCAGAGUUCAGACUAAUUAUGCAGAAUGGCACUGACAGACUUAUUAUAAGCUAUAUUUAAUUUGAGCCUGUAGAUAAUAAAUACAAAAAAAAAGAAGUUCUUUGUGCUUACUUCUUACUCCCAACUCAGGAGCUCGCAGUGCCAACUUUCUAGCUAAUCUCGUAAGACCUGUUUGAAACGGGUCUUUGGGACAAAAAUGCUAUCUGCCAGUGACAGAUCAAGAGCUUGGAGGCAGGAAGAAACGGAGUGAACUGUAAGUGAUCUGUAAAGAUCGGUGUUCUGAGCUCAAUAAACUCGUCUCCCUGGAAGUUAUAAUUGCAUGAACUUUGGGAAACAGAUGGUCAUCUAGAGAUUUUAGCUCCUAAUGGGUAAAAGAGUUGCAGACUACAGAGAUGGUUAUUACACAGAAUGAAGUUUUGAGGACCAGUCGGAUACGGGAAGUAAGGGAGAGGUUAAGACUCUCACCCAUGGCUGGACCUGGUUAGCUGGUGUAAUGCCCCAAGAGGUCAGAACGGAGGGGCAGGGUGGAGGUGUGGUGGGUGAUGCCUUUUCCUGGGGUCGCGUUGCGUUUGGGGUGAGCUGCAGGGAAGCGGAGGAAGUCCGUCGGGGGAGAAAGUUCCGGAAGGACUUAGCGUAUCUCGGCCUGGAGCCCGGGGGAGAUCUGCGAGGCGGCACGUCUUCGCGUAGUAGGCGAAGCCAAAGUGUGGAGAGGUCACCCAGAGAAGAGUGAUGCAGACUCGAGCUGCGAGAUUGGACACCCGCCGGGAAGGUUCUCCGCUGCGCUCUGGGGGAAGGAGAGGCCGCAGCGACCGGCACCUCUUGCUCUGAAAGCCGGAGCAGCCAGACGUUCGUUAGGAGCCGCGUCUCAGAUUCCUUUUCAGUGCACAGUCCGUUUGGAGAGAGACGUUGGGGGCAGUCACAGGAGCAGGGCUGCUGUGCGUUUUUUGGCCCCAGACGGGGGUGCCGGGAGCCCCCUGGAGGUGGAGUCCGGAACUCAGAUGGACUCCCCACGGGUGGGCUGCCUGCGUGUGUAGGGCUCACCUUUCAGCCACCUUCCCUGGAGCGCAGCAGCUUGGAAAUAACCACAUGCGACAAUCCCCAAGGGGAAGCCAGCACCAGGCGGCCAGGAGGCCCCCUGUCUGUCGCCUGCCUCUGUCAAGUCUUCCCAAGGAGCCCGAGGUUCAGAUCUUGAAUCACUGAAGAUCGCGUGGUUCUCAGCAAAUUCAAACGAAAGGCUUGAGAUUUCUGACUUGCGAUCGUGCUGAGUAUUAGGCGGAAUGAAAACUGACGCAAUUUAGAGAACGGCUCCUUAGUCUUUUUGGUCGGCUGAAAAGGGACUUCAACCAACAUUUUAAUUAACUGAUUAAUUUUUGUGGUGCUCUUUUCGGCGUCCGCGUGAUCGUCGUACCUUUCCCGUUCUUCCUGCUGGACUUCUCCACUUGUGUAUUUCUUGCCGCCCAAGUUUUGUUUUGUCUUGUCUUCAGAAUAAAGCGAUGGUUGUAGUGAUA
Panthera uncia (snow leopard) is the source of this 3060-nucleotide long non-coding RNA. RefSeq lists it as uncharacterized. NCBI's taxonomy places the organism in Eukaryota, Metazoa, Chordata, Mammalia, Carnivora, Felidae. The record is from RefSeq and is a predicted model, not a curated record. The transcript has 2 exons.